AGUAGCUCUGCAGCAGAAAACCUGUAUGCUGAACAGCAGAAAGAAGUAAGAUGAGGCAUGGGGGUAGGAGGGUGAUCAGAACAGUAGCUGCUGAUAAAGAAAUGUGCUGACAAUUCAUAACAAUGGGUUACUGCUUCAGUUCUCAGAUUUCCUAGAGUAAAUGGGCAGUUGCUUAUUAUUUUGACAUCACAAGCAGCUGUUGCUAUUUCUUUUUAAAAAAAAGGAAGAACAGCAAGUGUGUGGAAUAUUGUUUACUGUUAAUCAAGACAUCUUAACCAAAGUUUUCACAAUACUUGAAGCUACAUUUAAUUAUACAAUAGUCUCAAUCACAGAAAACAAGCAGAACAAUAAAACUACAUAAGGCCUUGAGAUUAGAAGCACAGUGUGUAUUGUUGGAAUAUUACUUUGUUUACAAAUAGGCUACAUAUAAUUAAGUUUAUUUUUCAUAGUUUUAUUCAAGCAAAAUGCAUUCAAGGAAAAGGCAACUUACAAAGUUUAUUUUACUAUGAGUUAAUAGAAAAAUGUCAACAUUCUCUUCUUGCCCCUCCCCCCACCCCAUCCAGGCACGAUUAGUAAAAUUUCCAUACAAUACUCAAAAAACAAUAAGCUUUUACACUAAAUAUUCAAAAGUAAGCCUGAUCAGAUAACUGCAAACUUGCAAAUUGUUUAUUACAAAGUUGGAUAAACUUCCAGGUUCCUUCUAAUGAAAUACUGCAUCUCUAUGCAAUCAAUGUUUAAAACUACAUUGUCCACAAAGCCUUCUAGGUUCUAAAAGUCUUACUGGUUUCAAUGAAGUACUUAGUGGCCUCGGUAGCAAUCAUGUGAAUGAUAUUUACAUUACAAGAAUGGUAACUUGCAGCAUUAUUUUGGCAAGAUUAGGACUGCUGAGAAGAUGAAUGGGUAAAUUUGUUUAACCUGAAAGGUAAGGGACAACACAAGAACAAAACAACUAAAGUGAAACUAAGCACAAAAGAUAUGAAAAAUAUGGGAAAAGAUAUCUAUUUUGACCCUCUCCCCCUAUAACAGGGCAUGGGUCAUUUCCAGUGACUGUCUAUUCUUAUUACAUACAUUAGUAUUUGCUCAAAUUUCAUGGCUAUUACAUUUUUACAGAACAGCUGCUUAGAAGUCUGGUUUUUAAUUUACACCUGUGCAACAGAGUAAGUCACAGUACAUUUUGAGAUGUUUAAAAAAUAUUUAUAAACUUGUUUUUCAUAUGCUAAAGCAUUUGGCAACACUUUUACAGCAUUUGAUUUUAUAUAAUUAAAAUUUCAUACAGUACUCCUUGUGAUUUUUUUUUUUUUUUAACAUCUAA
Long non-coding RNA from Aptenodytes forsteri (emperor penguin), 1312 nucleotides. RefSeq lists it as uncharacterized. The record is from RefSeq and is a predicted model, not a curated record. The transcript has 2 exons. Lineage: Eukaryota; Metazoa; Chordata; Aves; Sphenisciformes; Spheniscidae.